Molecule: unclassified non-coding RNA, 1197 nt
Filed under: Hevea brasiliensis (rubber tree)
Lineage: Eukaryota; Viridiplantae; Streptophyta; Magnoliopsida; Malpighiales; Euphorbiaceae
Source: RNAcentral
AAUAAGUUUACAUGUUAUAUGUGUAUUAAGUCACUCGAACGAACAAAAAUGAUCUUUACAUCCUACCAUGCAUAAGGAUAAUUAGUUUCUGUAAGAUGCAGUAUUUAUAGAUCUUAUCACAAAGCCCAUAACAUACUAUUUUGUCUCACUGUCCUUUUGUCAUAUCAAAGUCUUCAUCAUCCUUUAUGUAUUUCUCCUGCACAGCUGCAACUCGGUAGUAGUCCCAAUCAACAGGACCAACUGCAAUUUUGCUGAACUCAACAGCACUUGCAUCUAUGCCUGCAAAUAUGUAUCCAUUGCUUUUGUCAAUUAGCUUAACUAGAUUCCCAACACUCUCUUUAUCCUGGAUAUCUAAAGGUGUGAAGUUGACAAGUCCAUAAUCUUCUAUCACCUCACAAAGCUCCUUUGUAAGCUUUCUAUACUUAGCAGAGCGAGGAUCCUGACUGAUCUCAUUCUGCAGAUAUGAUAAAUCUUGGACAUCUGUGUAGAAGUCUAGGUUAAAAGCUAGCUUUCCGUAGCUUUCAAUUAGAUCAAUCUUUGACAAAACAUUGACAUGAGGAAGCUCCAAGUGUAACAUGGUGGAUAAAGAGAGGAGCAAUGCACUCACGUAUUUCCCUGGAUCACUGCAAAGAUGGGCAUCAACUAAAUGGACUGCAGUCAACCUUAGAUCUAACUUCUUUAUAAGUUCCAUAAUCAUAUUCUUCGCAUUGUCAUGAAGGAAAAAUAGUUCCACCUGACCCGGAAAAUCAAAAAGUAAAUAGUGCUCUUUAAGGAGAGGUUUUAACUUGGACUCCAACCAGUCAAUAUUCUUCUGGAGAUAGUCCAUGCAAUACACAAGCCCUCCAUUGGGACCAAGAGAAUGUUCAAUCAUUACAUCACUCAGCUUAAUUAGAUCCUCAAUAUUCACAGCACACUCAUAUGGUAAAGCAUCAUUAGCGGGAUCCAAAUUGAUAACAGCAACUUUCCGUCCAAUCAGUUGGAGGAACUGAGACAUUCCGUUGCAAUAAGUGGUUUUGCCGGAACCAGGGGGGCCAAUCACAACUUGACCAAACACCAUUCUUCUAAGUUCUAAUUCUAACCCUCAAAGCUCCUGUUAUCAGCUUCAAGUUUCGUGGAGUGCAGCCUGAAAGUGGAAGAGCUCCGCCGCUGAAGGCCGCCGGAGAAAUCGCACCAGCUUCAAAUUGACUUGUAGUGAUU